GACGAACUGUCCUAACGUUGUUCGGAAUCACUGGGCUUAAGGGCGCGUAGGCGGUCCGCCAAGUCAGGGGUGAAAUCCUGCAGCUUAACUGUAGAAGUGCCUCUGAUACUGGCGGUCUUGAGGGAAAUAGGGGUGUGCGGAACUUCCAGUGGAGCGGUGAAAUGCGUUGAUAUUGGAAGGAACGCCGGAGGCGAAAGCGGCGCACUGGAUUUCUUCUGACGCUGAGGCGCGAAAGCUAGGGGAGCAAACGGG
This 252-nucleotide ribosomal RNA is filed under the name uncultured bacterium. Its description in RNAcentral is "partial 16S ribosomal RNA". It matches the Rfam family "Bacterial small subunit ribosomal RNA", at positions 524 to 776 of the family's 1533-position model. The record is from RNAcentral.